UACGUAGGGUGCAAGCGUUAAUCGGAAUUACUGGGCGUAAAGCGUGCGCAGGCGGUUAUGCAAGACAGAUGUGAAAUCCCCGGGCUUAACCUGGGAACUGCAUUUGUGACUGCAUAGCUGGAGUGCGGCAGAGGGGGAUGGAACUCCGCGUGUAGCAGUGAAAUGCGUAGAUAUGCGGAGGAACACCGAUGGCGAAGGCAAUCCCCUGGGCCUGCACUGACGCUCAUGCACGAAAGCGUGGGGAGCAAACAGG
RNAcentral lists this ribosomal RNA (253 nucleotides) under uncultured bacterium. RNAcentral's name for it is "partial 16S ribosomal RNA". It matches the Rfam family "Bacterial small subunit ribosomal RNA", at positions 524 to 776 of the family's 1533-position model. The record is from RNAcentral.